GGAGGGGUGGCCGAGUGGUUGAAGGCGCACGACUCGAAAUCGUGUUCUCCGAAAGGGGACGGGGGUUCGAAUCCCUCCCCCUCCG
This 85-nucleotide transfer RNA is filed under the name Candidatus Stahliibacteriota bacterium. Its description in RNAcentral is "tRNA-Ser". It matches the Rfam family "tRNA". From Rfam's summary of the family: Transfer RNA (tRNA) molecules are approximately 80 nucleotides in length. Their secondary structure includes four short double-helical elements and three loops (D, anti-codon, and T loops). Lineage: Bacteria; Candidatus Stahliibacteriota. The record is from RNAcentral.